RNAcentral lists this small RNA (895 nucleotides) under Pan troglodytes (chimpanzee). RNAcentral's name for it is "processed transcript". Lineage: Eukaryota; Metazoa; Chordata; Mammalia; Primates; Hominidae. The record is from RNAcentral.
GAGGAUGUGAAUGGGGUGGGGGCAGUCGCCCCUGUCCCCCACCCUUCCCUUCAAGCCGGGCAGGGGUGGGGGGAGGGGCCGGGCUGAGGCGGCGGCGGCGGCGGCGCUCGGGGAGGGUUGGGCCAGGCAAGGGCGGGACUAGCCCACGGCGGGCGGACGAGAGAGCUGCGAGCUAACGGGUCCGGACGACGGCGGCGGCGGCGGCGACGCCUUUCUGCGCGGGCGGCGGCGGCGGCCGGAGCGGCGAGCAUGGCCCGCGCCGCGCCGGGCGCUGACUGAGGGUCGUGCUGCGGCAGCCUGGCGCCCGACAUGUGAAGGGGAACCUGCCAGGGGAUUACUGUGAGCUAACAGCAGGAUAGGCUGGCCCCGGGGGAGUGGGGAUGGGCAGAACCCGGGCCAGGAGUAUUAGGAAGGAGACCUGGACCCUGGUGGGGAGCUCAGCACAAGCUCGCCUGACCCAGAUGGUAUUGGACACAGUGCCCCGCUGAACAGCAGCUGUUCCCAGCGCCAGAGGACCCCACAGUCACAGUAGGAGCUUUGCGACCCCUACGCAACUGCAGCUGGGGCUGGGGCCACCAGGAGAAGGGACCAGCACCUCAGAUGGGAAGCAGAAGGGCAAGACCUACUGCGGAAAGGAUCUCGAUCUCUGCAGCGGAGUUUUCCCACACUCACAGAGCUUCCUGUUUUUGUCCUCUCAGGGUUGGGGUCUGGCUCCCCUCCUCUGGCAGAGGUUUUGGGCCAGGAGGUGGGACAACGCUUGCAUGGAACCCAAGUCCCCUGAAGUCCAUGUGCUCUCUGUUGUGAUUGGAGUUCUAGGGCUUCCCCGCUGCCGGGAACGAGGGGCCGCCUCAUUGUCUGCUCAUGAACCACAAGGACCCCGACUGCUCCAGACUGG